This 402-nucleotide long non-coding RNA is filed under the name Homo sapiens (human). RNAcentral's name for it is "HSALNT0353946". The record is from RNAcentral. Lineage: Eukaryota; Metazoa; Chordata; Mammalia; Primates; Hominidae.
CAGAGUUUUGCUCUUGUCACCCAGGCUGGAGUGCAGUGGUAUGAUCUCGGCUCACUACAACCUCUGCCUCCCAGAUUCAAGCGAUUCUCCUGCCUCAGCCUCGAGAGUAGCUGGGAUUCCAGGUGAAAUGCUCAUUGCAGUGCUGCAAAAAGGUGAGGUCACAGGACACAAACCCAUAUCUGAGACCUGGAUGCCUUCCUCCACGCACUCACCCACUGGCUGUCCUGAGCAUCACCCUGCACCUAUUGUCACAGCAACAAGGGAAAAAUCAGCAUAGUGGUCAAGUCCAUUGUCAGCUUCUGACACUGCCUCUUACAAGGAGGUGACUUUGGAAAUGUCAUUCAGCCUUCCUGUGCCUGAGAUCGCCUCACCUGUCAAAUGGGAACAAUAAAGCACUUCAAA